GCUGGCGGCGUGCCUAACACAUGCAAGUUGAGCGCGAAAGGGGGGGUAACUCCCCGAGUAGAGCGGCGAACGGGUGAGUAACGCGUGGGUGAUCUACCUUCGAGUGGGGAAUAACAUCGGGAAACUGGUGCUAAUACCGCAUGACAUCCCGGGAUCAAAGCCGGGAUCAAAGCCGGGGACCGCAAGGCCUGGCGCUUGAAGAGGAGCCCGCGUCCGAUUAGCUAGUUGGCGGGGUAACGGCCCACCAAGGCUACGAUCGGUAGCCGGCCUGAGAGGGCGGACGGCCACACUGGGACUGAGACACGGCCCAGACUCCUACGGGAGGCAGCAGUGGGGAAUUUUUCGCAAUGGGGGAAACCCUGACGAAGCAACGCCGCGUGGAGGAUGAAGGCCUUCGGGUCGUAAACUCCUGUCGACCGGGACGAAAGUGGUCCGACCUAAUACGUCGGGCCAUCGACUGUACCGGUGGAGGAAGCCACGGC
Molecule: ribosomal RNA, 482 nt
Filed under: uncultured soil bacterium
Lineage: Bacteria
Description: bacterial SSU rRNA
Rfam family: Bacterial small subunit ribosomal RNA
Source: RNAcentral